CCGCACCGCCGCACCGCCGCCCGCGCCCGUGCGCCCGCCGCUGUCCGUGCACGCUCAGGCCGCGCGAUCCAGCCGAUCCAGCUGCUGUUCGCUUCUGUUCCAGCUCCGUCCAGCCAUCUCCGGCCACCUCCGGCCACCGCCCAACCCCGCCGGACCUCCCCCGCGACCCCCUCGCCCUCCGCCGGCCUUCCCCCGCCGCCCUAGCCGCCGGAGCUGCU
This 218-nucleotide long non-coding RNA is filed under the name Eucalyptus grandis. RNAcentral's name for it is "long non-coding RNA (EGRA_LNC007981)". The record is from RNAcentral. Lineage: Eukaryota; Viridiplantae; Streptophyta; Magnoliopsida; Myrtales; Myrtaceae.